CGAACGGUAACAGGAAACAGCUUGCUGUUUCGCUGACGAGUGGCGGACGGGUGAGUAAUGUCUGGGAAACUGCCUGAUGGAGGGGGAUAACUACUGGAAACGGUAGCUAAUACCGCAUAACGUCGCAAGACCAAAGAGGGGGACCCUCGGGCCUCUUGCCAUCGGAUGUGCCCAGAUGGGAUUAGCUUGUUGGUGGGGUAACGGCUCACCAAGGCGACGAUCCCUAGCUGGUCUGAGAGGAUGACCAGCCACACUGGAACUGAGACACGGUCCAGACUCCUACGGGAGGCAGCAGUGGGGAAUAUUGCACAAUGGGCGCAAGCCUGAUGCAGCCAUGCCGCGUGUAUGAAGAAGGCCUUCGGGUUGUAAAGUACUUUCAGCGGGAGGAAGGGAGUAAAGUUAAUACCUUUGCUCAUUGACGUUACCCGCAGAAGAAGCACCGGCUAACUCCGUGCCAGCAGCCGCGGUAAUACGGAGGGUGCAAGCGUUAAUCGGAAUUACUGGGCGUAAAGCGCACGCAGGCGGUUUGUUAAGUCAGAUGUGAAAUCCCCGGGCUCAACCUGGGAACUGCAUCUGAUACUGGCAAGCUUGAGUCUCGUAGAGGGGGGUAGAAUUCCAGGUGUAGCGGUGAAAUGCGUAGAGAUCUGGAGGAAUACCGGUGGCGAAGGCGGCCCCCUGGACGAAGACUGACGCUCAGGUGCGAAAGCGUGGGGAGCAAACAGGAUUAGAUGCCCUGGUAGUCCACGCCGUAAACGAUGUCGACUUGGAGGUUGUGCCCUUGAGGCGUGGCUUCCGGAGCUAACGCGUUAAGUCGACCGCCUGGGGAGUACGGCCGCAAGGUUAAAACUCAAAUGAAUUGACGGGGGCCCGCACAAGCGGUGGAGCAUGUGGUUUAAUUCGAUGCAACGCGAAGAACCUUACCUGGUCUUGACAUCCACGGAAGUUUUCAGAGAUGAGAAUGUGCCUUCGGGAACCGUGAGACAGGUGCUGCAUGGCUGUCGUCAGCUCGUGUUGUGAAAUGUUGGGUUAAGUCCCGCAACGAGCGCAACCCUUAUCCUUUGUUGCCAGCGGUCCGGCCGGGAACUCAAAGGAGACUGCCAGUGAUAAACUGGAGGAAGGUGGGGAUGACGUCAAGUCAUCAUGGCCCUUACGACCAGGGCUACACACGUGCUACAAUGGCGCAUACAAAGAGAAGCGACCUCGCGAGAGCAAGCGGACCUCAUAAAGUGCGUCGUAGUCCGGAUUGGAGUCUGCAACUCGACUCCAUGAAGUCGGAAUCGCUAGUAAUCGUGGAUCAGAAUGCCACGGUGAAUACGUUCCCGGGCCUUGUACACACCGCCCGUUACACCAUGGGAGUGGGUUGCAAAAGAAGUAGGUAGCUUAACCUUCGGGAGGGCGCUUACCACUUUGUGAUUCAUGACUGGGGUGAAGUCGUAACAAGGUA
RNAcentral lists this ribosomal RNA (1444 nucleotides) under metagenome. RNAcentral's name for it is "bacterial SSU rRNA". It matches the Rfam family "Bacterial small subunit ribosomal RNA". The record is from RNAcentral.